This is an RNA transcript of Theobroma umbraticum, 1652 nucleotides long. It is a transcript of the gene named cytochrome C oxidase subunit, with no coding region annotated. NCBI's taxonomy places the organism in Eukaryota, Viridiplantae, Streptophyta, Magnoliopsida, Malvales, Malvaceae. The record is from RefSeq and is a predicted model, not a curated record.
ACCAACCAAAACAAAAAGCUCGCUCACUCCUCAACGACCACAAAGCAAACUAACUGAUUCUGCACACUUAAAAAGUCAUGGCUGUUCUUCAACAUUCAUGGCUUUCUACUUUCAACACUACUGCUCUCUUCUCUUCCUUUAACCCUCAGAAGAACUCUCCUUUCAAACUAUCCUUCUCUCAAACCCGAUCCAAUGAUGAAGCUUCACAGCCCAUUUCACCAAACUUGGAAGAAACAAUUCCUGAAUCAACAAAGGGUCCUGUGGACCCUGUUAAGCUUGCUUUUGAGAGGGCUAAAGCGUAUAAGAAAAUGAAAGUGAACCCAGAUUCAAAAACUGAACAGAACCCAGGAGGGGAUUCUGGCAGAGAUAGGAAAAAGACUGGCGGAAGUAAGGAAAUUCCUGCUUCAGUUAAGGUUGCAAUGGGAAAAGCAAGAGAGUACAAGGAGAAUACAGUGGUUCUUGGUGGUGUGGACAAUGCCAGUGAGAGCAGAAUUGCUUCAGGCAUUGAUUUUUUAGUCAAGAACACUGAGAGUAGCGGUACGUCACAUCUAGGCAAGACUGUGGAGAAGAAGGUUCAGAAGGAGGAAAAAUUGUCAAUCUCAAGCAUUGACUUCGUAGGGCUUGAGUUUGCUGAUAAGAAAAAGGGCAGAGGACUACCAGCUGGACUGGUUCGAGUUUCAGAUACUUUUCCAGAAGGUGAUUUGCCUGAUGUGGAGAUUAUUGUUGGGGACACCAGCAAGUUUGGGGAGGCAACAACAUCAGAGGAAAAGCAAACCAUAGAAGAUAGCUCGGAAAUUUAUAAGCCGAAGGUCUCAACAUGGGGAGUUUUCCCUAGGCCUGGCAACAUCUCCAAGACGUUUGGUGGUGGAAGGACUAUUCGACCUGGGGAAGGGCUUGAAACAGAAGAAGAUAAAGCUGCUAAAAAUGAGCGCACAAGGCAGUUGCUUGCUUCUUACAAGAUGAAAAUUGGAUUGAAUGUUGACCCGAAGCUAAGAUCUGAGUGUGAGAAGGCAUUGAAGCAUGGUGACUCAUUAAUGGAUUCUGGGAAGCUUAAGGAAGCUUUAUCCUAUUAUGAAAGAGUAAUGGAGAAGAUGCCUUAUCAGAGUGAACUUCAUGGAUUAGCUGCUUUGCAGUGGUCUAUCUGUCAAGAUUCACUUAGUAGACCAAAUGAGGCCCGGAUUAUGUAUGAGAAGCUCCAGUCUCAUCCAAAUGCCAAUGUAAACAAGAAAGCAAGGCAGUUUACGUUCAGUUUCAAGGUAAUUGAUAGUGAACUUAUCGGUUGCUCCACAUUCCUAUGCUGGAUGUACAUUAUGCGAAAGAACUUCAAGUUGUUCGCUACAUAACCAAAAUAUGAAAGAUAAACUGAAUAUGUGAUUCUUCAUCGCAAGUUGAAAUUAGAGUAUACUAGAUAUCAUCUAAAUAAUUGAGGUCUGGGAACAAAAUGAGGUAGAAACACUAUAUCGGGAUCUCUGGUGAUGAAGUCAAGUGCUGCAGGUCAUCUUUAGGCAGAGCCAUGGAAAUGAUGAAGGUCACAGGCUCCAACCCCUCACUAAAGAACACAGGCUACCAGAAUUAUUUUGAGGCAUUUAUUGAAGAUAAAGCCUACAACUCUCUGGAAGGGGCCGAAGUCACAGAAGGUGCACUGAACCAAG